GGCGGCCCGGGGAAGAAAACGGCCCAGACUCCUACGGGAGGCAGCAGUGGGGGAAUAUUGCACAAUGGGCGGAAGCCUGAUGCAGCGACGCCGCGUGAGGGAUGACGGCCUUCGGGUUGUAAACCUCUUUCAGCAGGGACGAAGCGUAAGUGACGGUACCUGCAGAAGAAGCGCCGGCCAACUACGUGCCAGCAGCCGCGGUAAGACGUAGGGCGCGAGCGUUGUCCGGAUUUAUUGGGCGUAAAGAGCUCGUAGGCGGCUUGUCGCGUCGACCGUGAAAACCUGGGGCUCAACCCCAGGCCUGCGGUCGAUACGGGCAGGCUAGAGUUCGGUAGGGGAGACUGGAAUUCCUGGUGUAGCGGUGAAAUGCGCAGAUAUCAGGAGGAACACCGGUGGCGAAGGCGGGUCUCUGGGCCGAUACUGACGCUGAGGAGCGAAAGCGUGGGGAGCGAACAGGAUUAGAUACCCUGGUAGUCCACGCUGUAAACGUUGGGCGCUAGGUGUGGGGGGCCUCUCCGGUUCCCUGUGCCGCAGCUAACGCAUUAAGCGCCCCGCCUGGGGAGUACGGCCGCAAGGCUAAAACUCAAAGGAAUUGACGGGGGCCCGCACAAGCGGCGGAGCAUGCGGAUUAAUUCGAUGCAUCGCGAAGAACCUUACCUGGGUUUGACAUGCCCGCAAAACUGUCAGAGAUGGCAGGUCCUUCGGGGGCGGUCACAGGUGCUGCAUGUCUGUCGUCAGCUCGUGUCGUGAGAUGUUGGGUUAAGUCCCGCAACGAGCGCAACCCUCGUUCGAUGUUGCCAGCGCGUUAUGGCGGGGACUCAUCGAAAACUGCCGGGGUCAACUCGGAGGAGGGUGGCGAUGACGUCAAGUCAUCAUGCCCCUUAUGUCCAGGGCUUCACGCAUGCUACAAUGGCCGGUACAAUGGGCUGCGAUAC
RNAcentral lists this ribosomal RNA (935 nucleotides) under Micromonospora maritima. RNAcentral describes it as "bacterial SSU rRNA". It matches the Rfam family "Bacterial small subunit ribosomal RNA", at positions 306 to 1255 of the family's 1533-position model. The record is from RNAcentral. Lineage: Bacteria; Bacillati; Actinomycetota; Actinomycetes; Micromonosporales; Micromonosporaceae.